RNAcentral lists this ribosomal RNA (1470 nucleotides) under human gut metagenome. RNAcentral's name for it is "bacterial LSU rRNA". It matches the Rfam family "Bacterial large subunit ribosomal RNA", at positions 588 to 2146 of the family's 2925-position model. The record is from RNAcentral.
AAAGCGUGAUAGGGUACUUUUUGUAGAACGGUCCGGCGAGCGAUUGUAUGCAGCAAGGUUAAGGACUUAAGGUCUGGAGCCGAAGCGAAAGCGAGUUUGAAAAGGGCGUUAAGUUGCAUAUAAUGGGCCCGAAACCGGGUGACCUACCCAUGGUCAGGUUGAAGUGGAAGUAAAAUUCCAUGGAGGACCGAACCGACCUCCGUUGAAAAGGCGGCGGAUGAACUGUGGGUAGCGGAGAAAUUCCAAUCGAACCCGGAGAUAGCUGGUUCUCCCCGAAAUAGUUUUAGGACUAGCCUCAAGUUAGAUACCUGGAGGUAAAGCACUGAAUAGCCUAGCGGCCGAGAGGUUAGCGAAGCUUAUCAAACUCAGAAUGCCAGAGUAUUGAUGCUUGGGAGUCAGACAGUGUCAGAUAAAUGUCAUUGUCAAAAGGGAAACAGCCCAGAUCUACAGCUAAGGUCCCAAAGUCAGGUUAAGUGGAAAACGAUGUGAAGAUACGCAGACAACCAGGAUGUUGGCUCAGAAGCAGCCACUCAUUCAAAGAGUGCGUAAUAGCUCACUGGUCGAGCGUCUUUGCGCGGAGAAUUUAACGGGGCUAAACCUGACACCGAAGCUUAGGCAAUGUAGUAAUACAUUGGGUAGGGGAGCGUUGUAUACGCGGAGAAACAGUAGCGUAAGCGGCUGUGGAGUGUAUAGAAGUGAGAAUGCCGGAAUGAGUAGCGCGAAUGCAGUGAGAAUCUGCAUGGCCGAAAGCCUCAGGUUUUUGGAGGAAGGUUCGUCCGCUCCAAGUUAGUCGGGAGCUAAGGUGAGGCCGGAAGGCGUAGCCGAUGCACAGACGGUAGAGAUUCCGUCACCACCAAAAGAGUUAAGCACAGGGACACAUUUGAAGUCUCAGAGCCGGGUGUUGGUUCCGGUAGAGAUCGAGGGAAAUUAGUACCGAAGUCUGAGAUGGAAGAUGGCGAGAAAAGCUGUGUGUAUUUCUGAGGUGCCCGUACCGCAAACCGACACAGGUAGGUAGGAAGAAGAUUCUAAGGCCAACGGGAGAAGGGUUGUUAAGGAACUCGGCAAAUUGACCCCGUAACUUCGGGAGAAGGGGUGCUCCAGAGAUGGAGCCGCAGAGAAUCGGCCCAAGCAACUGUUUACCAAAAACACAGGUUUGUGCUAAAUCGAAAGAUGACGUAUACGAGCUGACGCCUGCCCGGUGCUGGAAGGUUAAGAGGAGAUGUGCAAGCAUUGAAUCGAAGCCCCAGUGAACGGCGGCCGUAACUAUAACGGUCCUAAGGUAGCGAAAUUCCUUGUCAGGUAAGUUCUGACCCGCACGAAAGGUGUAACGAUUUGAGCACUGUCUCGACAACACGCCCGGUGAAAUUGAAGAACCAGUGAAGAUACUGGUUACCCGCAACAGGACGGAAAGACCCCAUGGAGCUUUACUGCAGCCUGAUACUGGGAUUCGAUGAUGUAUGUACAGGAUAG